UACGGAGGAUCCAAGCGUUAUCCGGAAUUACUGGGCGUAAAGAGUUGCGUAGGUGGCAUAGUAAGCGGGUAGUGAAAGCGUGUGGCUCAACCAUACUCACAUUACCUGAACUGCUAAGCUAGAGAACGGGAGAGGUAGAUGGAAUUCCCAGUGUAGGAGUGAAAUCCGUAGAUAUUGGGAGGAACACCGAUGGCGUAGGCAGUCUACUGGCCUGUUUCUGACACUAAGGCACGAAAGCGUGGGGAGCAAACGGG
RNAcentral lists this ribosomal RNA (254 nucleotides) under uncultured bacterium. Its description in RNAcentral is "partial 16S ribosomal RNA". It matches the Rfam family "Bacterial small subunit ribosomal RNA", at positions 524 to 776 of the family's 1533-position model. The record is from RNAcentral.